UCCUAGAAUAGAUACUGAGGGAUGACUGUAUCUGAUAAAUUCUCAGUGCUUCCAGGGAUGUUACUAUUCAAUUAUUUAUUUAUUUUUUCAGUACUGGGAAUGGAAUCCAGGGCCUCAUGCAUGCUGAACAAGUGCUCUACCACUGAGCUACACCUCCAAAGUAUUACCAAAAAACUGUUGCUGCCUGGUUAAUGUCUAACAAGGGACUUCCCAGAGGAAAGAGUAUGCCCCUCUGUAAUUUUUAAAUUAUGAAUUUCACCUUUGCACCAGGAUACCGAGGAUGUUCUUAGUCAAGGUCCCUGUGAUUCUUCGGUAAAACUGUAUCGCCCCCUGGUGUCAGUAUGCUGCCAUUGCACCAUCACCCACUGAACCCAAAGCUGAGUAAGGAUGUAGCUUCCGGUUUUAUCCCAUAGAUAACCUGUCUGAUAGUAUUGGAUUGAAGAAUAUAGUUUUAAAUGUCAAACCCAGACUUGGUUUGAUAAAGACAUGGAAUGAAGUUUUUAAAUGAAGAGACCUUUCUCUACCCUCAGCAGAAUAUCCUGGGAUGAUCAAGUAAUUCUGAAAAGAUAUUGAUCAGAUUUUAGUCUGCCAAGUUUUAAUACAGGAUGGUCAUGGAAGAGGCUGCAACACACCUACCCAUUUUUCAGAACCAGCUCAAGCAUCUCAUGGGCUGAAAAGCCUUUCCUACUUCUUAGCAAUGGUGCAUCCUAGCCUCCUCUGCUCUGCUAAUUCAAACACUGAAGGAAUGAAGUGUUGCCUGAUUCUAAACCAGCAAAAUAAAGCCAGUCGAG
This is a long non-coding RNA of Sciurus carolinensis (gray squirrel), 791 nucleotides long. RefSeq lists it as uncharacterized. Lineage: Eukaryota; Metazoa; Chordata; Mammalia; Rodentia; Sciuridae. The record is from RefSeq and is a predicted model, not a curated record. The transcript is spliced from 4 exons.